AGCGCCUGAGCACAGGGAGCCUGUUACUGAAGUUUCUGGGGUUUAAAUCCCCUCUAGAGGUUUCCAUUGGUUACUUCCUGUGCACCCUAUGUAAAUGAAGAGGAUGAAGUCAAAUUACAAAGUCGUGUGCUCGGUGUACGCCCUGUGGAAAUGGACAGGAUAUUUCCUGUCAUAGCCCAAGAGUUUCCAUUUGAUUUAGUUCUCCGAAGUCAGGGUGAAUCGGCCUUAUGUUCCUGCCUCCAGACCCUUUUCUCCUGCCCCCGUGGAAUGGAUGGCAGGACAUGGAAAAGUGUUUUGUCCAAAUGACAUGUCCCAGGGCACUGGAAGCUGAGGACAAGAGGGAACCAGUUGGUGCCACUGAGGAAUGCUCACCCGCGUCUCCACACCGCACAGAACAAAGCAAAGUUGGGAACACCUUGAAAUGGGCACUGGUGGAUUUCAAUUCCAGCCUUCCAGAAGCCACUCCAAAUGGAAAUUGAGCUAAGGGAUGUAGCUGGACUCUCUUUGGUUUCACUAUGCAAGCUGACUCUCCCCACCUGAUGAUCCAGUGGGAUUAGCAGGAACCGAGUGGACUACGGCCACCACCCGCAUCCUGUGCCCAUCCAUGAACUGGGGCAGAGGAGAGGACUGAUCUCGUUACUUGGCCUGGCUGGACGUGCUGACCCUCAGGAUCACAGGCAGUGGAAGGAGCAGCUCCUGGAAGGUCAGAGUGGGUCCUGUGACGGAUGGAAAUGACAAGUAUGUUGAGCAACAAAAAUGAUCAGCACUUGGUCUGUGGCAGCAGGAGCUCAGAAGUAAGGAAUCCUAGGGCCUUAUAUGAGUGGCCCAUUGUGGCAAAAACUUUUUUAAACAAAAAAUAGCCCCUAAGGAGUGUUCCAAUGACUACCUCUUAAGCAAUACAAUUGACCUGUGAACAAUGCAGAGAUUAGGGGCACCAACUCGCCACACAGUUGAAAUUCGGACAAUAACUUUUGACUACGCCAAAAGGAAUUUACUAAUAGUCUAUUCUUGGGUGGCAGCCUCAGUGAUCACGCAGAUAGUUGGUUAACGUACAUUUUGUGUGUUAUAUGUAUUGUAUAGUGUAUUCUUACAGUAAAGUAAGCUAG
Long non-coding RNA from Rhinopithecus roxellana (golden snub-nosed monkey), 1106 nucleotides. RefSeq lists it as uncharacterized. The record is from RefSeq and is a predicted model, not a curated record. The transcript has 3 exons. Lineage: Eukaryota; Metazoa; Chordata; Mammalia; Primates; Cercopithecidae.